AAAAAAUGAAACCCAGUUUCAAUUAAAAGAAACUAAAAAUAUUUCGAGCUGAAGGGAUCUAAGAACAUUGAACAUGAGAAGUGUCCCCUGUUGGUACCUGACGUAAAGCUGAUGUGGGGGUUGAAGAUGAUGUUCAAUGAUGCGAAGUUCCUCCUCAUGACAGGAUAGAGCUACAUCUAGUUUACCCAUCCUAGAAUUUUCAGUACAUUACCUGGAGCAUGCAGUACACUACCUGGAGCAUGCAGUACAAUACCUGGAGCAUGUAGUCCACUACCCGGAGCAUGCAGUACAAUACCAGAGCAUGCAGUACACUAAUUUGAGUAUGC
Molecule: long non-coding RNA, 326 nt
Organism: Eurytemora carolleeae
Lineage: Eukaryota; Metazoa; Arthropoda; Copepoda; Calanoida; Temoridae
Exons: 4
Source: RefSeq, a predicted model, not a curated record